GUGGGGAAUCUUCCGCAAUGGACGAAAGUCUGACGGAGCAACGCCGCGUGAGUGAAGAAGGUUUUCGGAUCGUAAAGCUCUUUCGUUAGGGACGAACGUGCUCUUUGUGAAUAAUGAGGAGUAAUGACGGUACCUAAAUAAGAAGCCACGGCUAACUACGUGCCAGCAGCCGCGGUAAUACGUAGGUGGCAAGCGUUGUCCGGAAUUAUUGGGCGUAAAGCGCGCGCAGGCGGGAUAUCAAGUCUGUCUUAAAAGUGCGAGGCUCAACCUCGUGAGGGGACAGAAACUGGUAUUCUUGAGUGUCGGAGAGGAAAGUGGAAUUCCAAGUGUAGCGGUGAAAUGCGUAGAGAUUUGGAAGAACACCAGUGGCGAAGGCGACUUUCUGGACGAUGUCUGACGCUGAGGCGCGAAAGCUAGGGGAGCGAACGGGAUUAGAUACUCUAGUAGUCC
Molecule: ribosomal RNA, 450 nt
Filed under: uncultured bacterium
Lineage: Bacteria
Description: partial 16S ribosomal RNA
Rfam family: Bacterial small subunit ribosomal RNA
Source: RNAcentral